AACAGGAUUAGAUACCCUGGUAGUCCACGCCCUAAACGAUGUCUACUAGUUGUCGGGUUUUAAUUAACUUGGUAACGCAGCUAACGCGUGAAGUAGACCGCCUGGGGAGUACGGUCGCAAGAUUAAAACUCAAAGGAAUUGACGGGGACCCGCACAAGCGGUGGAUGAUGUGGAUUAAUUCGAUGCAACGCGAAAAACCUUACCUACCCUUGACAUGUCAGGAAUCCCGAAGAGAUUUGGGAGUGCUCGAAAGAGAACCUGAACACAGGUGCUGCAUGGCUGUCGUCAGCUCGUGUCGUGAGAUGUUGGGUUAAGUCCCGCAACGAGCGCAACCCUUGUCAUUAGUUGCUACGCAAGAGCACUCUAAUGAGACUGCCGGUGACAAACCGGAGGAAGGUGGGGAUGACGUCAAGUCCUCAUGGCCCUUAUGGGUAGGGCUUCACACGUCAUACAAUGGUACAUACAGAGGGCCGCCAACCCGCGAGGGGGAGCUAAUCCCAGAAAGUGUAUCGUAGUCCGGAUUGUAGUCUGCAACUCGACUACAUGAAGUUGGAAUCGCUAGUAAUCGCGGAUCAGCAUGUCGCGGUGAAUACGUUCCCGGGUCUUGUACACACCGCCCGUCACACCAUGGGAGCGGGUUUUACCAGAAGUAGGUAGCUUAACCGCAAGGAGGGCGCUUACCACGGUAGGAUUCGUGACUGGGGUGAAGUCGUAACAAGGUAACC
This 725-nucleotide ribosomal RNA is filed under the name uncultured bacterium. Its description in RNAcentral is "bacterial SSU rRNA". It matches the Rfam family "Bacterial small subunit ribosomal RNA", at positions 771 to 1501 of the family's 1533-position model. The record is from RNAcentral.